GACGAACGCUGGCGGCGUGCUUAACACAUGCAAGUCGAACGGAAAGGCCCCUUCGGGGGUACUCGAGUGGCGAACGGGUGAGUAACACGUGAGUAACCUGCCCUUGACUUCGGGAUAACUUCAGGAAACUGGGGCUAAUACCGGAUAGGAAUCCUUGCUGCAUGGUGGGGGUUGGAAAGCUUCGGCGGUUUUGGAUGGGCUCGCGGCUUAUCAGCUUGUUGGUGGGGUAGUGGCUUACCAAGGCUUUGACGGGUAGCCGGCCUGAGAGGGCGACCGGCCACAUUGGGACUGAGAUACGGCCCAGACUCCUACGGGAGGCAGCAGUGGGGAAUAUUGCACAAUGGGCGGAAGCCUGAUGCAGCAACGCCGCGUGCGGGAUGACGGCCUUCGGGUUGUAAACCGCUUUCAGCAGGGGCGAAGCUUGUGGUGACGGUACCUGCAGAAGAAGCACCGGCUAACUACGUG
RNAcentral lists this ribosomal RNA (465 nucleotides) under uncultured bacterium. RNAcentral's name for it is "partial 16S ribosomal RNA". It matches the Rfam family "Bacterial small subunit ribosomal RNA", at positions 28 to 507 of the family's 1533-position model. The record is from RNAcentral.